AUGUAUUUUAUUCUACUAGAGGAGAGAUGUAUUUUUAUUCUACUAGAGGAGAGAUGUAUUUUAUUCUACUAGAGGAGAGAUGUAUUUUAUUCUACUAGAGGGAUGUAUUUUAUUCUACUAGAGGAGAGAUGGAGGGAUGUAUUUUAUUCUACUAGCGGAGAGAUGGAGGGAUGUAUUUUAUUCUACUGGAGGAGAGAUGGAGGGAUGUAUUUUAUUAAACUAGAGGAGAGAUGUAUUUUAUUAAACUAGAGAGGUGGAGGGAUGUAUUUUAUUCUACUAGAGGAGAGAUGGAGGGAUGCAUUUUAUUCUACUAGAGGAGAGGUGGAGGGAUGUAUUUUAUUAAACUAGAGGAGAGAUGGAGGGAUGUAUUUUAUUAAACUAGGAGAGAUAGAGGGAUGUAUUUUAUUAAACUAGGAGAGAUAGAGGGAUGUAUUUUAUUAAACUAGGAGGGAUGCAUUUUAUUCUAGAGAGAUGGAGGGAAGUAUUUUAUUAAACUAGAGGAGAGAUGGAGGGAUGUAUUUUAUUCUACUAGAGGAGAGAUGGAGGGAUGCAUUUUAUUCUACUAGAGGAGAGAUGUAUUUUAUUAAACUAGGAGAUAUGGAGGGGUGCAUUUUAUUAAACUAGAGGACAGAUGGAGGGAUGUAUUUUAUUAAACUAGAGGAGAGAUGUAUUUUAUUAAACUAGGAGGAGGGAUGCAUUUUAUUAAACUAGGAGAGAUGGAGGGACGUAUUUUAUUAAACUAGAGGAGAGAUGGAGGGAUGUAUUUUAAUCUACUGGAGGAGAGAUGGAGGGAUGUAUUUUAUUAAACUAGAGGAGAGAUGUAUAUUAUUAAACUAGAGGAGAGAUGUAUUUUUUUUAAACUAGGGGAGAGAUGUAUAUUAUUAAACUAGAGGAGGGAUGUAUUUUAUUCUACUGGAGGAGAGAUGGAGGGAUGUAUUUUAUGAAACUAGAGGAGAGAUGUAUAUUAUUAAACUAGAGGAGAGAUGUAUUUUUUUUAAACUAGGGGAGAGAUGUAUAUUAUUAAACUAGAGGAGAGAUGUAUAUUAUUAAACUAGAGGAGAGAUGUAUUUUUUUUAAACUAGGGGAGAGAUGUAUUUUAUUAAACUAGAGGAGAGAUGUAUAUUAUUAAACUAGAGGAGGGAUGUAUUUUAUUCUACUAGAGGAG
Molecule: long non-coding RNA, 1165 nt
Organism: Oncorhynchus tshawytscha (Chinook salmon)
Lineage: Eukaryota; Metazoa; Chordata; Actinopteri; Salmoniformes; Salmonidae
Source: Ensembl